UUGUAAUAUGUAUAUAAAUUGAAUCUUUUAUUUAAUUCAAAGAACUCUCUGGACAAUCCAAUCGUCAGAAUCAAUACAACAAUAACACAAUCCACAUACUAAUAAUGUGAGAUAUAUUAUAGCGAGGCUGAAGGCCAAUGGCUCCCAUCUGGGGCCCUGCAAAAGGUAUAGGGAGGAUUAUUGCAGAUUCUCAGACUUCUGGUUCAAGAUUGCUGGUGUUAUCAAAGUGUGGGCUAACUCUGCCAGGCGACCAGAGGCCAAAGCACUGACAUCCCAAUCUACCAAUCAAUUUCCCCUAUACAGCUCCACUUCAGCAUUUAGCUUUUAACGUCAAAUACUACAUUUUUGUUGGCUCCGGCCUGUCUAGGACUCUUGAGAUUUACUCUGAGAGUGAUUACUCUGUAGAAAAAAGGCAACAUCCACAUUACAGAGUAAUUAAAAAGAUUUCCUUAGCUGGCAAAGCACUGAGACUACUAAAAGUCUUCUGCUUAAGGGUGAGCUUUUAAUUUGUACUCACAGCAGGGUUUUUCAUGCAAUCAGAAGGUUAGCAGCAUUAUAUCAUAUUUAGGAGAGGGCAAAAAAGCUCUGCUCCAGAGACCCUACAUGUUGCUUAUUUUACAACUACAGAGCAGAGUAAUUAGUGGCUUAGUAUGGUGAGAAAAAGAUCUUAAAAUAAAAAUAUAGCUUUUUUCCCCCUUCUUCUUGUGUUAGGUCUGUUAAGGUUCAAUAAUAAUAUACACAGUGAAAUAAAUCUCUAUCUAUC
Pelobates cultripes (western spadefoot toad) is the source of this 763-nucleotide non-coding RNA. The record is from the annotation of a GenBank genome assembly. Lineage: Eukaryota; Metazoa; Chordata; Amphibia; Anura; Pelobatidae.